RNAcentral lists this ribosomal RNA (494 nucleotides) under uncultured bacterium. RNAcentral's name for it is "bacterial SSU rRNA". It matches the Rfam family "Bacterial small subunit ribosomal RNA", at positions 903 to 1397 of the family's 1533-position model. The record is from RNAcentral.
AAAUGAAUAGACGGGGGCCCGCACAAGCGGAGGAACAUGUGGUUUAAUUCGAUGAUACGCGAGGAACCUUACCCGGGUUUAAAUGUUGAUUGCUUUAGUAAGAGAUUACUAUUUCCUUCGGGACGAUCAGCAAGGUGCUGCAUGGUUGUCGUCAGCUCGUGCCGUGAGGUGUCGGGUUAAGUCCCAUAACGAGCGCAACCCUUACCGUUAGUUGCCAUCAGGUUAUGCUGGGGACUCUAUCGGGACUGCCACCGUAAGGUGAGAGGAAGGUGGGGAUGACGUCAAAUCAGCACGGCCCUUAUAUCCGGGGCGACACACGUGUUACAAUGGUUGGUACAGGGGGCAGCUACCAGGUGACUGGGUGCUAAUCUCCAAAACCGAUCUCAGUUCGGAUCGGAGUCUGCAACUCGACUCCGUGAAGUUGGAUUCGCUAGUAAUCGCGCAUCAGCCACGGCGCGGUGAAUAUGUUCCCGGGCCUUGUACACACCGCCCGU